Molecule: transfer RNA, 72 nt
Filed under: Betaproteobacteria bacterium
Lineage: Bacteria; Pseudomonadati; Pseudomonadota; Betaproteobacteria
Also listed under: 1 other name
Description: tRNA-Met
Rfam family: tRNA
About the family: Transfer RNA (tRNA) molecules are approximately 80 nucleotides in length. Their secondary structure includes four short double-helical elements and three loops (D, anti-codon, and T loops). Further hydrogen bonds mediate the characteristic L-shaped molecular structure. tRNAs have two regions of fundamental functional importance: the anti-codon, which is responsible for specific mRNA codon recognition, and the 3' end, to which the tRNAs corresponding amino acid is attached (by aminoacyl-tRNA synthetases). tRNAs cope with the degeneracy of the genetic code in two manners: having more than one tRNA (with a specific anti-codon) for a particular amino acid; and 'wobble' base-pairing, i.e. permitting non-standard base-pairing at the 3rd anti-codon position.
Source: RNAcentral
GCCGGAGUAGCUCAGCGGUAGAGCAGCGGACUCAUAAGCCGUUGGUCGUCAGUUCAAAUCUGACCUCCGGCA